RNAcentral lists this long non-coding RNA (781 nucleotides) under Homo sapiens (human). RNAcentral describes it as "non-protein coding lnc-RARS2-1:1". The record is from RNAcentral. Lineage: Eukaryota; Metazoa; Chordata; Mammalia; Primates; Hominidae.
GAAAGGGGAGAUGAAAAUGCAGCUAUAACAGAUGAUGGAUUACGCAAAUGAUAAGAAAGUGGCUGCCACUGAAGCCCUAAAUGAUGGUGAACCGUAGAAAGCCAUUGACUUAUUCACAGAUGCCUUCAAGCUGAAUCCUCUCUUGACCAUUCUACAUGCCAAAGAGAGCCAGUGUCUUCAACGAAUUACAGAAGCCAAAUGCUGCCAUCUGAUAUUGUAACAGAGCCAUUGAAAUAAAUCCUGAUUCAGCCCAGGCUUACAAGUGGUGAGCCUUACAAGCGCUUUUCACACACAGACUUCUGGGCCACUGGGAAGAAGCAGCCCAUGAUCUUGCCCCUUGUCUGUAAAUUGGAUUACAAAGAUGCUAGCACAAUGCUGAAAGAAGUUCAACCUAGGGCCUAGAAAAUUGCAGAACAUCAGAGAAAGUAUGAGCAAAACCAUGAAGAGUGAGCGAUCAAAGAAAAAAUAGUUAAAAAGGCUCAGAAAAGAGCAUGAGAGAGCCCAGAGGGAUCAGGAACUCAGUAGGCUCUCUUUUCCAGCUGGCUUUCCUGUGGGAAGGCCUGUUAAUGUUCAUGAAGGAAUGCCUGGAAUGGCAGGAAUGCCUGAACUCAAUGACAUUCUUAGUGAUCCAGAGGUUCUUGCAGCCAUACAGGGUCCAGAAGUUAUGGUGGCCUUCUAGGAUGUGGCCUACAACCCAGCAAGUAUGUCAAAAUACCAGUAAAAUGGAAAGGUUACAAAUCUCAUUAGUAAAUUGUCAGCCAAAUUUGUAGGUCAAGCGUAA